GACGAACGCUGGCGGCGUGCUUAACACAUGCAAGUCGAACGGUGAUGGAGAGCUUGCUCUCCGGAUCAGUGGCGAACGGGUGAGUAACACGUGAGUAACCUGCCCUCGACUCUGGGAUAAGCGUUGGAAACGACGUCUAAUACCGGAUACGACCUCGGAUGGCAUCUUCCGGGGUGGAAAGAGUUUCGGUCGAGGAUGGACUCGCGGCCUAUCAGCUUGUUGGUGAGGUAGGGCUCACCAAGGCGACGACGGGUAGCCGGCCUGAGAGGGUGACCGGCCACACUGGGACUGAGACACGGCCCAGACUCCUACGGGAGGCAGCAGUGGGGAAUAUUGCACAAUGGGCGCAAGCCUGAUGCAGCAACGCCGCGUGAGGGACGACGGCCU
Molecule: ribosomal RNA, 387 nt
Filed under: uncultured bacterium
Lineage: Bacteria
Description: bacterial SSU rRNA
Rfam family: Bacterial small subunit ribosomal RNA
Source: RNAcentral